This 649-nucleotide long non-coding RNA is filed under the name Cebus imitator (Panamanian white-faced capuchin). Its description in RNAcentral is "lncRNA (ENSCCAG00000038141.1)". The record is from RNAcentral. Lineage: Eukaryota; Metazoa; Chordata; Mammalia; Primates; Cebidae.
CACCAAAAAGUUACGCAGAAGAUUCAUCUGCCGGGCUGGGCUCUUAGGAAUCUGUCCAGGUGCCCCAGUGGAAUCAGCCCGAGUGUCUUCGUUCCUGAUAAGUGCUUUCCUGGGAAGCAUUUAGCACAUCCUGAACCAAGCACAGGCACCGAAUGUGGAGAUCAAUUAUGCAGCUACAGCCAAAACCAAGCUCUCUUUAUUGCAAUGGUAAUGAAAGUAGCUCCAUAUGAAAAGGAGAGAGGGAGACAGAGAUUGAGAAAGUCCAAGAAAACAGGAAGAGAAGUGAGACAGAGGAGGCCACAGACCACGUCAGAAGAUCCCGCCCGCAGCAGGUAGCAGAAUCAGUCGUGACCUCCUCGCCCGCCGAGGGGCUCGGGGAUUCCCCGUGACUUAAAGGUGCCCUCCUUGACUUUCUUGCUGACGACAAUGUAGCCUGCUCCACAGGGGCAAUUUAGAGGUUUCCCACGUGCUGAGCUGGUUUUCAAGCUUCAUUUGGAGCUUGCUGACACGAUCACAGACACCUGGAAGUCCCUUUGAGAAAGGAGCUAUGCUGGCUGGUUUUAGCCCACAGUCUCUGAACACAAUUUGGUAUUGACUAUGUGUCUAUCUGUCUGUCUAUCUAUCUAUCUAUCUGUCUAUCUAUCUGUCU